RNAcentral lists this long non-coding RNA (680 nucleotides) under Solanum tuberosum (potato). RNAcentral's name for it is "long non-coding RNA (STUB_LNC006295)". The record is from RNAcentral. Lineage: Eukaryota; Viridiplantae; Streptophyta; Magnoliopsida; Solanales; Solanaceae.
GGAAAAGUUAAUAGCAUGAAAAAUUGGAGGGAAAGUUAAUAAAUUUUCUUUUACUUUAAUAAACUUAAAAUGAAAGUUUUAUUUUUAAGCCAAUUAUUUCAACUUAAACUAUAAACUUUCACUUAGAAGCUGGAAAAAAUCUAUAAAAUCCAAUCACUACAACUCAAACUAUAAAGUUGCUCUAGGACUACAUAAAAUCCACUUACUUCUACUCAAAACUAUAAGCUUUCACUCAGAAAUUGCAUAAAAUAUACAAAGUUAAAUUGUUUCCGCUGAAACUACACAAUUUCGCCACAAACUGCAUAUAAUCUAUAAAAUCCCACUAUUUUCACUGAAAAAUCCAAUUACUACAAAAUUCAACAUUAUUUUUGUCUGAAACUACAAAAUUAAUUUCACUAGAAGCUGCAUAUAUAAUCUACAAAAUAAAACUACUAUCAAUCAAAUUCAACUGAUUUUCUUACUAAUAAAUUAGGUUUUAAAUGGAUCGAAAUGUGUACCGUCAUGUUUGAGGGUUUUAGAGUGAACGUGAGCGCUAUGGAUCAAUUCAUUCUUUACCAAUUGGGCCACUCAUCGCAGACCCUUUCAUUUCUCCCUUGGGGUUCACAAUCACACCAGCAUUAUCUUUAAAGUACAUGAAGACACCGUCCUUUCGGCGCCAUGGCUUGCGCUGACGAACAAUG